Capsicum annuum is the source of this 2202-nucleotide long non-coding RNA. RefSeq lists it as uncharacterized. The transcript is spliced from 5 exons. The record is from RefSeq and is a predicted model, not a curated record. Lineage: Eukaryota; Viridiplantae; Streptophyta; Magnoliopsida; Solanales; Solanaceae.
AAAGUGGAGCCUCAUCCAACUUUUAUCAGUUGAAGCUCUUCCAUUGUAAAAUUUUCCCACGCAGUACCAGUCUCCCAUCUCUCUCGACUGUUCCGCUUCUUCAUCUUUCUUACUCAAUCCACUGCUACGAUUUAUUUCUGCUUUUUGACUGAUUUCAGGUAAUUGACCGACUCAAAAAAAACCUUACGUUUGUACCUGUAUUGCCAGAUGUUGUGUUCUCUAGAUUCUCAUCAACUAAAGACCUUCGUUGCUUUUUCUGCCAAGGUGCAGUCAUGGUUGCUCCAAUGGUUAAUCCAUAUGAACUAAGAAUGACCAAGGUGGAGAAGAAUAAAAUGUGAAAGACAUGGACAACAAAGAAGAAAACCAUGUAUAUAUUAUUUAGGAAGUUUCCAAGACUACUUCCUUACUUUUACCGUAGAAGCUUCCUUAAUGGAAUCUAUGGCCCGAUCAAAACACGGCUUGCCUUAUCACUUGGAAUAAGAGAUAAAGCUUAUCAUUUGAACGCUUAUUAUUUGAACACUUAUCAUUUGAAGAGUUCUGGCAAAGAGAUCAAUAAGAAGUUGUUGGACAAAGAAUGCAAAACCAUUCGUGGAGGAAGCUGUCUUAUAGGUUUCAAAUUGGGGUUUUAGCCCGGCAGACCUCAAAGUGCAGACGAAACACCCUGGAAAGUGUAUUGUGCAUUGGAUUAAAUCUCUGUAUGGUCAAACAGAAGAAAUCUUGACUGGAUUCCUCGCUCAAAUUCAUAUAUGGCGGGUUGGUUCAUAUCUUCUUUACCUAUUUUUGUUUUCCUUAUUCAAGAUAAUUCCUCAUAGCUUAUCAACAUAUUACGCCAACUUGUGUAAAGUAACUAAAAUUUUAAAUUUUAUCUGGGGAUGGAAAAUAUGGUGGUACCGCCAUCCACAACUGAUUUUUUACAGCGAGUCCUACCAGAUGCAAUGGUACAUAGGCUCUUAUACGACGCAAAUGUCUUGACGAGUAGGACGGUUUUUGGUGCUCAAAAGAAGCAGGCAAAUAUCUUGACGAGUAGGAUGAGUAGGCAUAGUGAACCUCAUCAAAUCCUGCACUACCAUCUCUUAUAGGCCUCUUUCUGCAUUUUUUUAUGGUGAUCAAGCUUUGAUUUAGUCAUGUGUUUCAGAAUUUUGACGACGUUGCCAGAGACCCAUCCUCAAAGACAUCAUACGAAGUUUCCAUUUUUGCAGAUAACACAUGGAAAAAGAUUCGUGUUGUCUCGAAAUCAUUUUUCUUACUUCUUAUAGAAAAAUUGGUCUUAUUCGUAUAUUUGGUGAACAGAUGAAUGAUUCAUCAGUUAAAGAAAAGCAAACAAAAUCUGCAAUUGCAAAGAGUGCAAUUUCCUUACAGGUCACAGAGCCUAGUGUGAGUAACACUGAUUCGGAGGAAUUGAUGAGAAUUGCGAUAGAGAUAGUGGAGGAGAAAUGAUUGAUGGGAUUUUAACUUUAGGGACCAAGUCCACAUAUGAAAUCCCAUCUGAAGAAGAACUUAUUCGGCGUGCUCUUGCUGAAGAUGAAUUUAAGAGAGAAAAACAAGAUGCUUUAAAUGAGGAAGUUCCAGAGCCCAACAAGCCCGUUUUACUGCCUGGUUGGGGCCAGCGGACCAGUAUACAAAAGUAGAGAGGUCCGCCUUCUUGGAUGCUUCAAAAACAUGAUAACCCCAAAAAGAAAAGGGAAGAAGCUCUCAAGAAAAGAAAAGAUGCAAAGUCGAAUCAUGUUAUCAUCUCCGAAAAGCGGGAUUAGAAGGUUCCUUCUUCCAGCAUCACUUAUAGAGAUGAAUGAUGUAGCACCUUAUUUUUUUGGUUUUUCCUUUGGGUGAUAAUUUCUUAACAAUUGGUUGAGAUGGAAGUACAACCCACUGGAUGAGCCCAGUCCAUUACGUGAAGAGCCCUAUUUUGACUGAUUUUUCAUUUAUCAUUGGAACUCGACAAUUAGGGAAAGAAAGGGAACUCCAGAACUAUUGAAAGGCUCAAAGCCUCGAACUUUUCUACCACAGUUAUGAGAAUCAGGAGCUGGGAGGUAAUAUUGAUGUUUUAGCUGGGAGGUAAUAUUGAUGUUUUAGUAUUGAUUGUAAUUUGUAAUCAGCAAAUUGCAAUUUAGAAAAGCUACAACUGAUGAAAAUUGUGUUAUUUUUUUGUGAGUUUUGUAUAUUAAUGAAAAUUGAGCUGAAUUAGGAAGUGAAUUUUUUUCACAA